AUACGGAGGGUGCAAGCGUUACUCGGAAUUACUGGGCGUAAAGCGCGCGUAGGCGGCUACUUAAGUCAGAUGUGAAAUCCCCGGGCUCAACCUGGGAACUGCAUCUGAUACUGGGUAGCUAGAGUUUAGGAGAGGGAAGUAGAAUUUCAGGUGUAGCGGUGAAAUGCAUAGAGAUCUGAAGGAAUACCAGUGGCGAAGGCGGCUUCCUGGCCUAAAACUGACGCUGAGGUGCGAAAGCGUGGGUAGCAAACGGGAUUAGAAACCCUAGUAGUCC
RNAcentral lists this ribosomal RNA (274 nucleotides) under uncultured bacterium. RNAcentral's name for it is "partial 16S ribosomal RNA". It matches the Rfam family "Bacterial small subunit ribosomal RNA", at positions 523 to 796 of the family's 1533-position model. The record is from RNAcentral.